GAUGAACGCUGGCGGCGUGCCUAAUACAUGCAAGUCGAGCGAAUGGAUUAAGAGCUUGCUCUUAUGAAGUUAGCGGCGGGCGGGUGAGUAACACGUGGGUAAACUGCCCAUAAGACUGGGAUAACCCCGGGAAACCGGGGCUAAUACCGGAUAACAUUUUGAAACGCAUGGUGCGAAAUUGAAAGGCGGCUUCGGCUGUCACUUAUGGAUGGACCCGCGUCGCAUUAGCUAGUUGGUGAGGUAACGGCUCACCAAGGCAACGAUGCGUAGCCGACCUGAGAGGGUGAUCGGCCACACUGGGACUGAGACACGGCCCAGACUCCUACGGGAGGCAGCAGUAGGGAAUCUUCCGCAAUGGACGAAAGUCUGACGGAGCAACGCCGCGUGAGUGAUGAAGGCUUUCGGGUCGUAAAACUCUGUUGUUAGGGAGGAACAAGUGCUAGUUGAAUAAGCUGGCACCUUGACGGUACCUAACCAGAAAGCCACGGCUAACUACGUGCCAGCCGCCGCCGUAA
This 515-nucleotide ribosomal RNA is filed under the name uncultured bacterium. RNAcentral's name for it is "partial 16S ribosomal RNA". It matches the Rfam family "Bacterial small subunit ribosomal RNA", at positions 28 to 523 of the family's 1533-position model. The record is from RNAcentral.